CAGUUCGGAUUGCAGUCUGCAACUCGACUGCAUGAAGCUGGAAUCGCUAGUAAUCGCGAAUCAGAAUGUCGCGGUGAAUACGUUCCCGGGCCUUGUACACACCGCCCGUCACACCAUGGGAGUUGGAAGCACCCGAAGUCGGUGACCUGAACCGAAAGGGAGGAGCCGCCGAAGGUGAAGCCAGCGACUGGGGUGAAGUCGUAACAAGGUAAC
This 213-nucleotide ribosomal RNA is filed under the name uncultured bacterium. RNAcentral's name for it is "partial 16S ribosomal RNA". It matches the Rfam family "Bacterial small subunit ribosomal RNA", at positions 1289 to 1500 of the family's 1533-position model. The record is from RNAcentral.